CAAAGGCUUGGUCCUGGCCUUACUGUCGGCUCUAGUUAAAAUUACACAUGCAAGUAUCCGCACCCCUGUGAGGAUUCCCGCAAUCUUCUGCCCGAAGACACGGAGUAGGCAUCAGGCACCCCCUCCCCGGGUAAAUUAGCCCAAGACGCCUUGUUUAGCCACACCCCCAAGGGUAGUCAGCAGUGAUAAACCUUAAGCCAUGAGCGAAAGCUCUACUCAGUUAGAACUAAGAGGGCCGGUAAAACUCGUGCCAGCCACCGCGGUUAUACGAGAGGCCCAAGUUGACAGACAGCGGCGUAAAGGGUGGUUAGGGAGACACAUCAACUAAAGCCGAAGGCCGUCAAGGCCGUGAUACGCCCCUUCGAUGGCACGAAGACCAACUACGAAAGUGGCUUUACUUAGCCUGACCCCACAAAAGCUGAAGGAACAAACUGGGAUUAGAUACCCCACUAUGCUCAGCCCUAAACAUUGAUCGAAUUUAACUUAUUCUAUCCGCCUGGGAAUUACGGACACUAGUCUAAAAACCAAAGGACUUGGCGGUGCUUUACAUCCACCUAGAGGAGCCUGUUCUGUAACCGAUAACCCCCGUUAAACCUCACCUCCCCUUGCCUUAUCCACCUAUAUACCGCCGCCGUCAGCUUACCCUGAGAAGGAGAAGUCGUAUGCAGAAUUGGCAUAGCCCAAAACGUCAGGUCGAGGUGUAGUGAAUGGGGGGGGAAGAAAUGGGCUACAUUUACUACGUCGAAGUAAAUACGGAUAUCUCGUUGAAACAUGAGAUUGA
Molecule: ribosomal RNA, 781 nt
Filed under: Bothus lunatus (plate fish)
Lineage: Eukaryota; Metazoa; Chordata; Actinopteri; Pleuronectiformes; Bothidae
Description: partial 12S ribosomal RNA
Rfam family: Bacterial small subunit ribosomal RNA
Source: RNAcentral